This 355-nucleotide ribosomal RNA is filed under the name uncultured bacterium. RNAcentral's name for it is "bacterial SSU rRNA". It matches the Rfam family "Bacterial small subunit ribosomal RNA", at positions 29 to 410 of the family's 1533-position model. The record is from RNAcentral.
AAUGAACGCUGGCGGCAGGCCUAAAACAUGCAAGUCGAGCGCCCUAGCAAUAGGGAGCGGCGCACGGGUGAGUAACACGUGGGAAUAUGCCUUUUGGUACGGAACAACCUCGGGAAACUGAGGCUAAUACCGUAUGGUCCCUUCGGGGUAAAGAUUUAUCGCCAAAAGAGUAGCCCGCGUUGGAUUAGCUAGUUGGUAAGGUAACGGCUUACCAAGGCGACGAUCCAUAGCUGGUCUGAGAGGACGAUCAGCCACACUGGGACUGAGACACGGCCCAGACUCCUACGGGAGGGCAGCAGUUAGGAAUAUUGGACAAUGGGCGCAAGCCUGAUCCAGCCAUGCCGCGUGAGUGAUG